CACCGGGUGGAUGAGUGGCGAACGGGUGAGUAACACGUGAGUAACCUGCCCCUGACUUCGGGAUAAGCCCGGGAAACUGGGUCUAAUACCGGAUACGACCGUCGGACGCAUGUCUGGUGGUGGAAAGUUUUUUCGGUUGGGGAUGGGCUCGCGGCCUAUCAGUUUGUUGGUGAGGUAAUGGCUCACCAAGACGACGACGGGUAGCCGGCCUGAGAGGGCGACCGGCCACACUGGGACUGAGACACGGCCCAGACUCCUACGGGAGGCAGCAGAU
Molecule: ribosomal RNA, 274 nt
Filed under: uncultured Brevibacterium sp.
Lineage: Bacteria; Bacillati; Actinomycetota; Actinomycetes; Micrococcales; Brevibacteriaceae
Description: partial 16S ribosomal RNA
Rfam family: Bacterial small subunit ribosomal RNA
Source: RNAcentral